RNAcentral lists this ribosomal RNA (265 nucleotides) under uncultured archaeon. RNAcentral describes it as "partial 16S ribosomal RNA". It matches the Rfam family "Archaeal small subunit ribosomal RNA", at positions 719 to 982 of the family's 1478-position model. The record is from RNAcentral.
ACACGACUACAUUAGAUACCCGUGUAGUCCUAGCCGUAAACGAUACUCGCUAGGUGUCGGCCACGGUGCGACCGUUGUCGGUGCCGGAGAGAAGUUGUUAAGCCUGCUGCUUGGGGAGUACGUCCGCAAGGAUGAAACUUAAAGGAAUUGGCGGGGGAGCACCGCAACGGGAGGAGCGUGCGGUUCAAUUGGAUUCAACGCCGGACAACUCACCAGGAGCGACGGUUACAUGAAGGCCAGGCUGAUGACCUUGCCUGAUUUUCCG